CGCGUAAAGAACUUGCCUCACAGAUAGGGACAACAUUUGGAAACGAAUGCUAAUACCUGAUAUUAUGAUUUUAGGGCAUCCUAGGAUUAUGAAAGCUAUAUGCGCUGUGAGAGAGCUUUGCGUCCCAUUAGCUAGUUGGAGAGGUAACGGCUCACCAAGGCGAUGAUGGGUAGCCGGCCUGAGAGGGUGAUCGGCCACAAGGGGACUGAGACACGGCCCUU
RNAcentral lists this ribosomal RNA (221 nucleotides) under uncultured bacterium. RNAcentral describes it as "partial 16S ribosomal RNA". It matches the Rfam family "Bacterial small subunit ribosomal RNA", at positions 114 to 334 of the family's 1533-position model. The record is from RNAcentral.